This 1354-nucleotide long non-coding RNA is filed under the name Aotus nancymaae (Ma's night monkey). Its description in RNAcentral is "lncRNA (ENSANAG00000038594.1)". Lineage: Eukaryota; Metazoa; Chordata; Mammalia; Primates; Aotidae. The record is from RNAcentral.
GCGCCCUACCACGCUGUGCGCGCAGCCGGCAGAGGGCCGAGCUCCGGGAUAAGAGGGCUGGCAGACGAUAAGAGCAUGCGGAGGAGGUACCAUCCUUGCAGCUCUCCUGCCUCCAGCAAGAGCUGCCCUGUCUGUGGCCACUUCAAAUCUUCUGAUGGGCUGCGCUCAGAUCUUGAGAAAUGGCCUCCCUGGGGUAAAGCCAGUGCAAGAAGAAGGGAUCAUGAAUCAGAAGGUCCAGAUUUCUUUUCUUUUCAACACUGGGGUAAACAUGUAGACAAUGCCACUGUGAUCAUCUUUUAAUAAAAUUAGCUAAAUAUAAGACAAAUUAAUUCUUACCUGAUUGUUUGUUUGUUUUUAACCCUCCCCUCCAGGGGAGAUCCCGCUUUAGUCCCUUCCCUGUGUGCACUAGACGUAAGCCCUGAGGGUGGAUUUUACCAUCUGGGGACAGAGCUGGAACAGAAGGGGGAAAGGGUGCAGGAGACCAGUCGCACGCUCUGUAGAGCUUGUACUGUCUGACUCAAAUUAAUGAGAAAGAGUGAACAGAAUGAGAAAAUAGGCACAAUAUGCUUAUGAUAUUUAUGCAAAUUUGACAUUUUUUUUGUGUGUGCUGCAUCUAACAUUCCAUUGUGAAAUGUUAAAAAAAAUAUUGACUGUAGCUCUAAUAUCUGUUUGUUUCACUUUCUAGCUGUCAUGGGCAAGAAACUUAGUGGGUUAUUUCAGAGAGGGAGAGGAGAACCAGUUGGUAUUUCUCCUCCACCGCUCACCCCCACCCGCCAGGCAGUCACUAAGUAACUGUUUGCUCUCUUCUCAGAUUGUGUCUGCUUACAGGGUAUUGGAAUUGGCUAAUUCUGUCUUGGAAAAAGGAGCAGCAGUCCAGCCUCAAUCAAAUUAUAACUGCUGCUAGACCAGACAGUCCCAAGUGAACAAAAAAAUAGACCACAUUUUGGGUUGUGCUUAAUUCCAGACAUUCAUUUUCACUUUGAACAAAUAAUUUGAACCUUUCCUUGGGGUAACUUCUUACAUCUACGAGAACUAAAAAAAAAAAAAAGUCAUGUGCUACUGAAAGCUGGAGAUUGUCACAAGCAACAAACUCAUCUCAAAAAAAAAUAAAAUAAAAAUAAGCCAGAUUGUUAGACAAUAUCCUCAAACCUUUUUCUUAACAAACUAUGCUGGCAAAAUAAAGAUAGUCACAAUCCAAUGGCUUUUAAAGGGAGUCAGAAUCCAGUGACUUUGGGUAUCUAGGGUUAAGAAGAGUUUGCUUUGACUCAUCUUGUCCAUAUUUACUCUUAAAGCGGUUAUAUAUAUUGUCUUCCUUGUAUUUUGAUCCUCUGGAAUUCAGGGUAACCCUAUCUAU